This 1354-nucleotide long non-coding RNA is filed under the name Homo sapiens (human). RNAcentral's name for it is "HSALNT0251177". The record is from RNAcentral. Lineage: Eukaryota; Metazoa; Chordata; Mammalia; Primates; Hominidae.
CCUAGGUGAUUCAUACACACACUGCAAUUUAAGAAACACCGAGCUAGUGCAUAGCAAACAGAAAUCCACUUAGAAAAAUUCUAUGCACCCACCAGCUACUGAGAAAGCAGCCCCCUGAAGAGCAGCUACACAGGCUCCAGGAAACAAAGAAUCCUCAUCACAGGACACAGGGCAGAGCCUGCCGCCCCACUCAGACCUGCCGUUGAUUGCUCCAACACCUCCAACUUGAUACAGCGCCUGGGCUUCACUUACUAGAAUUGCUUCCAGGGUUCAAGGUUGCCUGUUCCUCUGAGAGAAAGUGGACUGAUGAAUGGGAAGAGGAUAUUAGGAAAUCCCAACCCAAAUAGGGCUUAGAAGGCAGCAGGGGCUGGUGGGCACCUACUCCCCACCCGCCACCAGACAUCUUUGGAGAGUCUUGUUACGAGCAGCCUGGAAAUUAACAUUGCUGACACUCAAACACCUUCUUGGAGGAGUGGGCUUGGGUAACGGAGGAACAAUUUUAGUCUGUGGCUUGUUUGGGGCCUGUCUGCAAAGGGGCUUUUCCACCUCAGGUGGUUUAAUAAAUACCCUGGUCCAGUCUGCACUCUCCUCUGCAGCUGUGGCACCAGUCACAGGCCCUGGGGAGUGCUCCCUGCACACUCCCCCUUUAAACUCACAGCCACCCCAUCUCCACACUUCUUAUCUAAACCCCAGCUCACUACCCUGCCUGCCACUGCACAGCUUCCCCAAGAAAAGUGAUUUUCCCACAGGCUGCUUCUGCACCAUGAGUCCAAUCCUUCAUCUGACUUUAUGUCCUGUCUCAUGGGGUCACAGAACUCAACUGUUCACAGUGCAAUGUAUUAUUCACUCUCACCCUGCAAAGUAUCUGAGAGACAGGGAAGAAAGGACGUGUCUGAGGCUGCUUCCACAGCCCAACAGGAUCCUUCCCAAGGAGCACCGCGUUGCCCAGCCACGGCAAACCCAGGGGGAUUCCCUAACCUCCUCAGGCUCAGAGACAUGGGUGCUUCCAGGCCCUACUAUGUUUUAAAGUCAGGUUCAUUGCAGAAUAAUUUCCAUGCAGUAAAAUGCACCCUUUCACUGAAGCAUACAGUUCAGUGAGUUUUGACAAAUGUAAUAACACCUGUUGGCUUAAAAUCCACCUGUUACUGAUGCUCUAUCAGACUAUGCUAAAUCAUCCUGAAUUUCCAGAACAAUUAAACCUGUUACAAAAAGUCUCCACAUUGUGGACUUUUGUCUUAUUCCCUAAUGUGGUGUUCAACUCAUCUUCUUGGCCACCAGUGUGAGUUUACACGUGUCACAUCCACAGUACCACCCAAUGUCUUGACAUGUCUAGCCCCCACCAGCCUGAUUGGCA